This 749-nucleotide ribosomal RNA is filed under the name uncultured Halomonas sp. RNAcentral's name for it is "bacterial SSU rRNA". It matches the Rfam family "Bacterial small subunit ribosomal RNA", at positions 28 to 774 of the family's 1533-position model. Lineage: Bacteria; Pseudomonadati; Pseudomonadota; Gammaproteobacteria; Oceanospirillales; Halomonadaceae. The record is from RNAcentral.
AUUGAACGCUGGCGGCAGGCCUAACACAUGCAAGUCGAGCGGUAACAGGGGGUGCUUGCACCCCGCUGACGAGCGGCGGACGGGUGAGUAAUGCAUAGGAAUCUGCCCGAUAGUGGGGGAUAACCUGGGGAAACCCAGGCUAAUACCGCAUACGUCCUACGGGAGAAAGGGGGCUUCGGCUCCCGCUAUCGGAUGAGCCUAUGUCGGAUUAGCUGGUUGGUGAGGUAAAGGCUCACCAAGGCGACGAUCCGUAGCUGGUCUGAGAGGAUGAUCAGCCACAUCGGGACUGAGACACGGCCCGAACUCCUACGGGAGGCAGCAGUGGGGAAUAUUGGACAAUGGGGGCAACCCUGAUCCAGCCAUGCCGCGUGUGUGAAGAAGGCCCUCGGGUUGUAAAGCACUUUCAGUGAGGAAGAACGCCUGGUGGUUAAUACCCAUCAGGAAAGACAUCACUCACAGAAGAAGCACCGGCUAACUCCGUGCCAGCAGCCGCGGUAAUACGGAGGGUGCGAGCGUUAAUCGGAAUUACUGGGCGUAAAGCGCGCGUAGGUGGCUUGAUAAGCCGGUUGUGAAAGCCCCGGGCUCAACCUGGGAACGGCAUCCGGAACUGUCAAGCUAGAGUGCAGGAGAGGAAGGUAGAAUUCCCGGUGUAGCGGUGAAAUGCGUAGAGAUCGGGAGGAAUACCAGUGGCGAAGGCGGCCUUCUGGACUGACACUGACACUGAGGUGCGAAAGCGUGGGUAGCAAACA